CCUACAGGUGGCUGCAGUGGGGAAUAUUGGACAAUGGGGGGAACCCUGAUCCAGCCAUGCCGCGUGUGUGAAGAAGGCCCUCGGGUUGUAAAGCACUUUCAGUGAGGAAGAACGCCUGGUGGUUAAUACCCAUCAGGAAAGACAUCACUCACAGAAGAAGCACCGGCUAACUCCGUGCCAGCAGCCGCGGUAAUACGGAGGGUGCGAGCGUUAAUCGGAAUUACUGGGCGUAAAGCGCGCGUAGGUGGCUUGAUAAGCCGGUUGUGAAAGCCCCGGGCUCAACCUGGGAACGGCAUCCGGAACUGUCAAGCUAGAGUGCAGGAGAGGAAGGUAGAAUUCCCGGUGUAGCGGUGAAAUGCGUAGAGAUCGGGAGGAAUACCAGUGGCGAAGGCGGCCUUCUGGACUGACACUGACACUGAGGUGCGAAAGCGUGGGUAGCAAACAGGAUUAGAUACCCCUGUAGUC
RNAcentral lists this ribosomal RNA (465 nucleotides) under Vreelandella stevensii. Its description in RNAcentral is "partial 16S ribosomal RNA". It matches the Rfam family "Bacterial small subunit ribosomal RNA", at positions 338 to 795 of the family's 1533-position model. The record is from RNAcentral. Lineage: Bacteria; Pseudomonadati; Pseudomonadota; Gammaproteobacteria; Oceanospirillales; Halomonadaceae.